Molecule: non-coding RNA, 538 nt
Organism: Phalacrocorax carbo (great cormorant)
Lineage: Eukaryota; Metazoa; Chordata; Aves; Suliformes; Phalacrocoracidae
Source: RefSeq, a predicted model, not a curated record
CCUGAGGGGAGCGGCGCCAUCCCGCGGAGCCUGGGGACCCCGACGCCCCCCCUCCUCGCGGCCGGGGCGGCAGACUUUCCUGCAUCCUCACUCCUUUACUACCCUGAUCCUCACUGGGACUUAGACUUUCUUCACUGCAGGUGACUCCCUGCAAAAUCUGCAACACUGCUUGUUAUACAGGGACAGUGACUUCCUUUUAGCUCGUCAGCACCCCAGAUGCCAAGGAUGUUGCAUGCAAAAGAGAGUGACUGAUCAAAGUUCCUAAUCAGCUGAGCUGAAGGUUACAAUGCUAAUUAAAAUGUUACUUUUCAAGAAGAAAUAAGAGAAACUGAAGAAACAUAAUAAAACUUUAUUAUCUAUUCUUGUCUUUAAACACCUGUAUUCAAAGAGUAAGUAAUGUUCCCCAUAGCACACAAAUGCUGCUUUUUAAGUAAUUUCAAGCAUUUCAACAAGUAAUCUUUCUGUGCUUGUUUAUGUGAGAUAAAAAUCCUGACAAAUGCCAUGUACUUAGGUGUAAGAUUAUGCUCCUGAAUUUAAU